UGCCAGCCGCCGCGGUAAUACGGAGGGGGUUAGCGUUAAUCGGAAUUACUGGGCGUAAAGCGCGCGUAGGUGGUCAAGUCAGUCAGAUGUGAAAACCCUGGGCUCAACCUGGGAACUGCAUCUGAUACUGCUUGACUAGAGUAUGGUAGAGGGGUGUGGAAUUUCCUGUGUAGCGGUGAAAUGCGUAGAUAUAGGAAGGAACACCAGUGGCGAAGGCGGUCUACCAGAACACGUCCGACGGUGAGGGAUGAAAGCUGGGGGAGCAAACCGGAUUAGAUA
This 279-nucleotide ribosomal RNA is filed under the name uncultured bacterium. RNAcentral describes it as "partial 16S ribosomal RNA". It matches the Rfam family "Bacterial small subunit ribosomal RNA", at positions 506 to 784 of the family's 1533-position model. The record is from RNAcentral.